This 497-nucleotide ribosomal RNA is filed under the name uncultured bacterium. RNAcentral describes it as "partial 16S ribosomal RNA". It matches the Rfam family "Bacterial small subunit ribosomal RNA", at positions 28 to 507 of the family's 1533-position model. The record is from RNAcentral.
GAUGAACGCUGGCGGCGUGCCUAAUACAUGCAAGUCGAGCGAACGGACGAGAAGCUUGCUUCUCUGAUGUUAGCGGCGGACGGGUGAGUAACACGUGGAUAACCUACCUAUAAGACUGGGAUAACUUCGGGAAACCGGAGCUAAUACCGGAUAAUAUUUUUAACCGCAUGGUUCAAAAGUGAAAGACGGUCUUGCUGUCACUUAUAGAUGCAUCCGCGCUGCAUUAGCUAGUUGGUAAGGUAACGGCUUACCAAGGCAACGAUGCAUAGCCGACCUGAGAGGGUGAUCGGCCACACUGGAACUGAGACACGGUCCAGACGCCUACGGGAGGCAGCAGUAGGGAAUCUUCCGCAAUGGGCGAAAGCCUGACGGAGCAACGCAGCGUGAGUGAAGAAGGUCUUAGGAUCGUAAAACUCUGUUAUUAGGGAAGAACAUAUGUGUAAGUAACUGUGCACAUCUGGAAGGUACCUAAUCAGAAAGCCACGGCUAACUACGUG